This 537-nucleotide ribosomal RNA is filed under the name Triticum aestivum (bread wheat). RNAcentral describes it as "partial small subunit ribosomal RNA". The record is from RNAcentral. Lineage: Eukaryota; Viridiplantae; Streptophyta; Magnoliopsida; Poales; Poaceae.
AUGGACUGCUGCUGCCGCGCGCGUCGCCCUGACCUGGGGCUUGCCUUCUUCGGCCGCCUCCUCAGGACGGGCCUGAGGACAGACGGCAUCGACGCAUACGCCCUCAUCAGGUGCUUUUGCCUCGCAAAACGGACAGACAAGGCUGUCAGCGUGCUGCUCCAUAGGAUGCCUGAACUCGGCUGUGCGCCUGAUGCCUUGUCAUACUCCGUCGUUCUGAAGGUCUUGUGUGACGAUGGCAGGAGCCAGCGAGCGCUUGACCUGCCCCAGAUGAUGUCGAAAGAAGGAGGUGGCUGCGCCCCCAACGUGGUGGCAUAUAGCACGGUCAUCCAUGGCUUCUGUAAGGAAGGCGAAGUAAGCAAGGCAUGCGAUCUGUUCAAUGAAAUGGAGCAUCAAGGAGUUAAACCUAAUGUGGUGACAUAUACCUCGAUAAUUGAUGCGCUGUGCAAGGCCAGAGCAAUGGACAAGGCAGAGUCGUUCCUUCGGCAGAUGGUCGAUAAUGAUGUUCGACCCAACAACGUGGCAUAUAAGUGUAUGAUC